This is a long non-coding RNA of Oryzias latipes (Japanese medaka), 1206 nucleotides long. RefSeq lists it as uncharacterized. NCBI's taxonomy places the organism in Eukaryota, Metazoa, Chordata, Actinopteri, Beloniformes, Adrianichthyidae. The record is from RefSeq and is a predicted model, not a curated record.
AGAAAUAACUUCCUGUUAACUCCUUAUGCGCUCCAACAUGCUUUCAGGCUGUUUGUCCUCAUUCGACGAAAAAAAGAAAGCGAAUGAAAAUGGAAAAAAUACAUCUGUUUGUUGAUCGCAGUUUUUUGGGAAAACAGAGGAUUGUCGAUCUGUGUGAAAGUGAUGAAGAGAUGCAGAAAAUGACAGUCCUGCAGCUGAAGGAGAAGAUAGCUCAACAGAUACCUGAAUACCGGCGAUACGUAGAAGCAGGGAGCAAAAAUGUGGGUCUGAUCUUUGAAAAUAAGAUGUUGGAUGAAGACUCUAAGCCGCUGUCCGGAUAUGGAAUCCAGCACAUGUCUGUCGUCCGACUGCUGCUGGACUUUUCUGGAGGAGAAAGUCCAGCAUUUCAUGAAGGUAAAGAGAUGGAAAAAGAUAACACACCAACCCCAAAAAGUAUGAUCAUGUCAAUGCAACUGCAAAUGGGCACUUUAAACAUUUUCCCACAAGGACCUGGCGAAGCGGAAAGUUCAGAGGAUGAAUCCAGCAAAAAUAAAAUUGGUGAUAAAAAGAAUGAAAAAAGAAAAAAUAGUAUGGACCGGCUUACUUAUUUUCAAGAUGGGGGCGGGGGAGUUCUAUGCCAUUAUUUGAAGUUUUCAAUGAUCUUAACCCAAUAUUUUACAUUUAGAGGAGGCUUUUUCGCAAACCCACUAUGUUUAAGAAAAACACCAUGAAACUGGAACAUUCUCUAAUUGUCAUUUUUAAGGUUUCUGGGGUUUUUUUAACAGUAAAAAGUGUUCCGUUUCUGCAGAUGUAGCUGCAGACUAAAAACCUGAAAGAUUCAAACACAGCCAAAGUAUUAUACUUACUCAAAUUUCUACUGCAGAUUUUUUCGCACAUUCUUUGACCAUGUUUAAUUUCAAUCUUUUCAUCAUUUUACAGGUAGAGUUUUCAGUGUUACAUUGAUUAUACAUUUUCGACAGUUUGCCAAAUGUUAAAAUGGACUGAAUGUGACUGUCCAUAUUUAAACUGUGAGUGAAAGGAUCACAUCUAUAGCUAACUAAUAACAGUAAAAAAAAAAAUUUAAAUCCCCCCAAAGAGUUGUGGACUUAUGUGAAUUGAUUGUUGUUUUUUAAAAUUGAAUAUUGCCUGAGUGAUUCCUGCGUGCUUCACUCCAAACUAUUUAUACAAAAGAACUGAUAUGGAAAUAAAGGAAUUAUACAAAUUUUA